GUGGGGAAUUUUGGACAAUGGGCGCAAGCCUGAUCCAGCAAUGCCGCGUGUGUGAAGAAGGCCUUCGGGUUGUAAAGCACUUUUGUCCGGAAAGAAAUCUCCUGGGUUAAUACCUCGGGGGGAUGACGGUACCGGAAGAAUAAGCACCGGCUAACUACGUGCCAGCAGCCGCGGUAAUACGUAGGGUGCGAGCGUUAAUCGGAAUUACUGGGCGUAAAGCGUGCGCAGGCGGCUAUGCAAGACAGAUGUGAAAUCCCCGGGCUCAACCUGGGAACUGCAUUUGUGACUGCAUGGCUAGAGUGCGUCAGAGGGAGGUGGAAUUCCGCGUGUAGCAGUGAAAUGCGUAGAGAUGCGGAGGAACACCGAUGGCGAAGGCAGCCUCCUGGGAUGACACUGACGCUCAUGCACGAAAGCGUGGGGAGCAAACAGGAUUAGAUACCCGGGUAGUCC
RNAcentral lists this ribosomal RNA (450 nucleotides) under uncultured bacterium. RNAcentral describes it as "bacterial SSU rRNA". It matches the Rfam family "Bacterial small subunit ribosomal RNA", at positions 354 to 796 of the family's 1533-position model. The record is from RNAcentral.